This is a non-coding RNA of Perkinsus marinus ATCC 50983, 73 nucleotides long. The record is from Rfam. Lineage: Eukaryota; Perkinsozoa; Perkinsida; Perkinsidae.
GCCUUGGUAGCUCAGCUGGCAGAGCGCGUGCCUUUUAAGCCCGUGGCCGCGGGUUCGAGUCCCGCUCGAGGUG